CAGGAUCGUCGAAAGACGUCUCCUUACACCAUUGUGAACUUACCUAUUUGUCGUGCUUCGGUAGGCGGCCUCCAUUCGUGGAGAUCCCCUCGGCCUUCGGGUGCCUGCCGAAGUGCAAUCUUAUACUACCUGGCGUUUUUGUAGAAUCAGAAAACUAAGUAAAUUAUAA
This 169-nucleotide unclassified non-coding RNA is filed under the name uncultured Sordariomycetes. RNAcentral's name for it is "sequence contains ITS1". Lineage: Eukaryota; Fungi; Ascomycota; Sordariomycetes. The record is from RNAcentral.